This 497-nucleotide ribosomal RNA is filed under the name uncultured bacterium. RNAcentral describes it as "partial 16S ribosomal RNA". It matches the Rfam family "Bacterial small subunit ribosomal RNA", at positions 28 to 507 of the family's 1533-position model. The record is from RNAcentral.
GAUGAACGCUGGCGGCGUGCCUAAUACAUGCAAGUCGAGCGAACAGACGAGGAGCUUGCUCCUCUGACGUUAGCGUCGGACGGGUGAGUAACACGUGGAUAACCUACCUAUAAGACUGGGAUAACUUCGGGAAACCGGAGCUAAUACCGGAUAAUAUAUUUAACCGCAUGGUUCAAUAGUGAAAGACGGUUUUGCUGUCACUUAUAGAUGGAUCCGCGCCGCAUUAGCUAGUUGGUAAGGUAACGGCUUACCAAGGCAACGAUGCGUAGCCGACCUGAGAGAGUGACCGGCCACACUGGAACUGAGACACGGUCCAGACUCCUACGGGAGGCAGCAGUAGGGAAUCUUCCGCAAUGGGCGAAAGCCUGACGGAGCAACGCCGCGUGAGUGAUGAAGGUCUUCGGAUCGUAAAACUCUGUUAUUAGGGAAGAACAAAUGUGUAAGUAACUAUGCACGUCUUGACGGUACCUAAUCAGAAAGCCACGGCUAACUACGUG